This 1375-nucleotide ribosomal RNA is filed under the name uncultured Staphylococcus sp. Its description in RNAcentral is "bacterial SSU rRNA". It matches the Rfam family "Bacterial small subunit ribosomal RNA", at positions 27 to 1383 of the family's 1533-position model. Lineage: Bacteria; Bacillati; Bacillota; Bacilli; Caryophanales; Staphylococcaceae. The record is from RNAcentral.
GGAUGAACGCUGGCGGCGUGCCUAAUACAUGCAAGUCGAGCGAACAGACAAGGAGCUUGCUCCUUUGACGUUAGCGGCGGACGGGUGAGUAACACGUGGGUAACCUACCUAUAAGACUGGGAUAACUUCGGGAAACCGGAGCUAAUACCGGAUAAUAUUUCGAACCGCAUGGUUCGAUAGUGAAAGAUGGUUUUGCUAUCACUUAUAGAUGGACCCGCGCCGUAUUAGCUAGUUGGUAAGGUAACGGCUUACCAAGGCGACGAUACGUAGCCGACCUGAGAGGGUGAUCGGCCACACUGGAACUGAGACACGGUCCAGACUCCUACGGGAGGCAGCAGUAGGGAAUCUUCCGCAAUGGGCGAAAGCCUGACGGAGCAACGCCGCGUGAGUGAUGAAGGUCUUCGGAUCGUAAAACUCUGUUAUUAGGGAAGAACAUACGUGUAAGUAACUAUGCACGUCUUGACGGUACCUAAUCAGAAAGCCACGGCUAACUACGUGCCAGCAGCCGCGGUAAUACGUAGGUGGCAAGCGUUAUCCGGAAUUAUUGGGCGUAAAGCGCGCGUAGGCGGUUUUUUAAGUCUGAUGUGAAAGCCCACGGCUCAACCGUGGAGGGUCAUUGGAAACUGGAAAACUUGAGUGCAGAAGAGGAAGUGGAAUUCCAUGUGUAGCGGUGAAAUGCGCAGAGAUAUGGAGGAACACCAGUGGCGAAGGGCGACUUUCUGGUCUGUAACUGACGCUGAUGUGCGAAAGCGUGGGGAUCAAACAGGAUUAGAUACCCUGGUAGUCCACGCCGUAAACGAUGAGUGCUAAGUGUUAGGGGGUUUCCGCCCCUUAGUGCUGCAGCUAACGCAUUAAGCACUCCGCCUGGGGAGUACGACCGCAAGGUUGAAACUCAAAGGAAUUGACGGGGACCCGCACAAGCGGUGGAGCAUGUGGUUUAAUUCGAAGCAACGCGAAGAACCUUACCAAAUCUUGACAUCCUUUGACAACUCUAGAGAUAGAGCCUUCCCCUUCGGGGGACAAAGUGACAGGUGGUGCAUGGUUGUCGUCAGCUCGUGUCGUGAGAUGUUGGGUUAAGUCCCGCAACGAGCGCAACCCUUAAGCUUAGUUGCCAUCAUUAAGUUGGGCACUCUAAGUUGACUGCCGGUGACAAACCGGAGGAAGGUGGGGAUGACGUCAAAUCAUCAUGCCCCUUAUGAUUUGGGCUACACACGUGCUACAAUGGACAAUACAAAGGGCAGCGAAACCGCGAGGUCAAGCAAAUCCCAUAAAGUUGUUCUCAGUUCGGAUUGUAGUCUGCAACUCGACUACAUGAAGCUGGAAUCGCUAGUAAUCGUAGAUCAGCAUGCUACGGUGAAUACGUUCCCGGGUCUUG